Molecule: ribosomal RNA, 253 nt
Filed under: uncultured bacterium
Lineage: Bacteria
Description: partial 16S ribosomal RNA
Rfam family: Bacterial small subunit ribosomal RNA
Source: RNAcentral
UACAGAGGGGGCAAGCGUUGUUCGGAAUUACUGGGCGUAAAGGGCGCGUAGGUGGCCUUCUAAGUUGAACGUGAAAUCCCUGGGCUCAACCCAGGAACUGCGUCCAAGACCGGGAGGCUUGAAUCCGGGAGAGGGAUGCGGAAUUCCAGGUGUAGCGGUGAAAUGCGUAGAUAUCUGGAGGAACACCGGUGGCGAAGGCGGCAUCCUGGACCGGUAUUGACACUGAGGCGCGAAAGCCAGGGGAGCAAACGGG